AUUGAACGCUGGCGGCAUGCCUUACACAUGCAAGUCGAACGGUAACAGGUCUUCGGAUGCUGACGAGUGGCGAACGGGUGAGUAAUACAUCGGAACGUGCCCGAUCGUGGGGGAUAACGAAGCGAAAGCUUUGCUAAUACCGCAUAAGAUCUACGGAUGAAAGCAGGGGACCGCAAGGCCUUGCGCGAACGGAGCGGCCGAUGGCAGAUUAGGUAGUUGGUGGGAUAAAAGCUUACCAAGCCGAGGAUCUGUAGCUGGUCUGAGAGGACGACCAGCCACACUGGAACUGAGCCACGGCCCGGUCUCCUACGGGAGGCAGCAGUGGGGAAUUUUGGACAAUGUGCGAGAGCCUGAUCCAGCCAUGCCGCGUGCAGGAUGAAGGCCUUCGGGUUGUAAACUGCUUUUGUACGGAACGAAAAGACUCUUUCUAAUAAAGAGGGUCCAUGACGGUACCGUAAGAAUAAGCACCGGCUAACUACGUGCCAGCCGCCGUAACAC
RNAcentral lists this ribosomal RNA (498 nucleotides) under uncultured bacterium. Its description in RNAcentral is "partial 16S ribosomal RNA". It matches the Rfam family "Bacterial small subunit ribosomal RNA", at positions 30 to 526 of the family's 1533-position model. The record is from RNAcentral.